UAAAUCCCUCUGUCACAGGAGACAAACACAGAAACCGCUCUUGUCAAGCAGAGAUCAAAUGUGUUAAGAAUUUUUGUACCACCUUUUAUGAAACUAUUGAAGGACUUAUGACCCAAGCUUGGAGCUGUGCUUACUGGCUUGGCUCUGUCUGGUAGAGUAGCCCUUGACCUCCAAACAGAGUCCCUUCCUGCUUACAGAGUCCCCAAGACUGGAAAAGUGCUGCUACCAACCUGCCCUUGCUCGCCAACCCUGAUUUUAGAGUUAUCAAAAGCAAAAAACACUAAAGGUACUUUGCUCCCUGUAGAGAAACCUUUGUCAUCUUGUAGCAAGUGCUGGAAUGUCCCUUUUCCUAUGCAACUUUUUUUAACCCUUUAAUGAACUUAUCUGUUGAGUACAUCGAAGAAUAUUUUUCUUCCUAGAUUUUGUUGUUUAAAUUAUGGGGCCUAACCUGCAACUUAUUUUUUGUCAAUUUUUUAAACUUUUUUUUAAUUACUGUAAAGAAAAUGAAUUUUUUUCCUGCAGCAGGAAACAUAGUUUUGAGUAGUUCUACCUCUUACCUGUAGCUGCCAGGCUUUCUGUAAAAAAUGUAUUGUAUAUAAUGUGAUUUUUACACACGUGUGUGCACAUGAGUACGCACACACACACACACACACACACACACACACACACACACACACACACCACUCUAGGGUAAGCCAGAAGGCUAGAACAAAUUAAAAGAAAAAUGAAACACCAUGUUUCUAAGAAUCUGUUGGGUUGUCAGAUUGUCCCUGCCCCCCCCCCUUUUUUUCCCAAAAUAAUUGUAGCUGUUUUGUGAAGGAAUCUGGGGAGGAGAGAGAACUGUGUGCAGGAGGGAUAACUUCUGCUGUGGGGAUGGUCAUGCUGGGAGCAGAUACUGGUGUGUUACACGUCGAACAUCCUACAAAGUAUUGGUAGGGAUUUCCUCAUUUUAAUAAUUUGUGUGUUUGUGUAAAAACUCUGUGUGUGGUUGUUGUACACCUGUGCAAAGCCAGAUGGAGUGACAGUAACCAGAGGGCAAAGCUGUCAUGCUUCUUGUGUCCAUUUUUAUAAAGUCCAAAACCACUCAUGAGAACUCUAUUAGGGGCCAAGAAAUACAUUGUGUAAAUUCAGGUGAGCAUAGCUUAUUACUCAGAUGUCAGUCAGCACCACAGAUACAACAGUCCGGAUCUAAAAUAUGAAAGCCAUAAGAAUAUUAACAGCCCUGUCACAUACCUGUAACAUGGUGUAGGAAUGCACAUAGAUCUGCGAAGAAAGUUUAAAGUGCUCACUUACAUGCACUCUUAGGAUAGGGUUAUUGGACCACUCAGAAUACGUGUAUGUGUGUGUAUCUAUGGGCUUCAAUAGACCGA
RNAcentral lists this long non-coding RNA (1370 nucleotides) under Rattus norvegicus (Norway rat). Its description in RNAcentral is "long non-coding RNA NONRATT009798". The record is from RNAcentral. Lineage: Eukaryota; Metazoa; Chordata; Mammalia; Rodentia; Muridae.